GAUUGUUUGCCUCCCAUUGACACAGUUUAUAAUCAUCACCUGAUCAAGGAGACCUUUCUCAACAAGUCCUGGUGCUUGCCUGAUGAAGUGAGCUACUCAGGCAGCUCAGGGUGAAGACCAUGGGGAGCACCACAAAGAGCUGCAGAUCAGUUCCAGGAUCACAGGUCGCCAUGAAAUGAAGGAUAAAAGAGGGAAAGGAUUAUGCCAGGAAACCAUGAGAAAAAGCAGUUUCAUCUCUCUGUCAAGGACUCACCAUUAACAGAGAGAGAAAUUAUAACCUGUGUCCAGCAAGCUCACUGCCUGGCAAUCUUCCUCCCUUUCAUUUGCAGAGUGGCACACUAAAGCUGGCAAGACAGACUUUAUGCAAAGCCCUUCUGCAAUAAAGGAAACUUCUCUGCAGACAAAUGUUGGAUUAAACCAAUUCCCUGGACCAAGUGGUAGGGCACAGAUUUUGCUCCUGUUCUUUGAGAUGAGCCUCUUACCAGCUGUUAUGCCUAUGAACAUUUGUGCUUUCAAAUAAAAAUAUUAUUAAAAUGAAAUCUGUCUUUGUGCUUCCUAUGUUGCUGGUCUUAAAAGUGGACAGGUAUCACAAGGCCUAUAAAAAGAGCUUGGAGAGUGGUCUCUCAAUCGGUUUCCAUUUCUG
RNAcentral lists this long non-coding RNA (643 nucleotides) under Serinus canaria (Common canary). Its description in RNAcentral is "lncRNA (ENSSCAG00000015916.1)". The record is from RNAcentral. Lineage: Eukaryota; Metazoa; Chordata; Aves; Passeriformes; Fringillidae.